UACAGAGGUCUCAAGCGUUGUUCGGAAUUACUGGGCGUAAAGGGUGCGCAGGCCGCGCGGGCAGUCAAAUGUGUAAUUCAGGGGCUCAACCCCUGCACUGCGCUUGAUACUUCCGCGCUAGAACUUUGGAGAGGAGUCUGGAAUUCUCGGUGUAGCAGUGAAAUGCGUGGAUAUCGAGAAGAACACUAAGGGCGUAAGCAAGACUCUGGACAAAUGUUGACGCUCAAGCACGAAGGCUAGGGUAGCGAACGGG
RNAcentral lists this ribosomal RNA (253 nucleotides) under uncultured bacterium. RNAcentral describes it as "partial 16S ribosomal RNA". It matches the Rfam family "Bacterial small subunit ribosomal RNA", at positions 524 to 776 of the family's 1533-position model. The record is from RNAcentral.